GAUGAACGCUGGCGGCGUGCCUAAUACAUGCAAGUCGAGCGAACAGACGAGGAGCUUGCUCCUCUGACGUUAGCGGCGGACGGGUGAGUAACACGUGGAUAACCUACCUAUAAGACUGGGAUAACUUCGGGAAACCGGAGCUAAUACCGGAUAAUAUAUUGAACCGCAUGGUUCAAUAGUGAAAGACGGUUUUGCCGUCACUUAUAGAUGGAUCCGCGCCGCAUUAGCUAGUUGGUAAGGUAACGGCUUACCAAGGCGACGAUGCGUAGCCGACCUGAGAGCGUGAUUGGACACACUGGAACUGAGACUCGGUCCAGACUCCUACGGGAGGCAGCAGUAGGGAAUCUUCCGCAAUGGACGAAAGCCUGACGGAGCAACGCCGCGUGAGUGAUGAAGGUCUUCGGAUCGUAAAACUCUGUUAGUAGGGAAGAACAAAUGUGUAAGUAACUAUGCACGUCUUGACGGUACCUAAUCAGAAAGCCACGGCUAACUACGUG
Molecule: ribosomal RNA, 497 nt
Filed under: uncultured bacterium
Lineage: Bacteria
Description: partial 16S ribosomal RNA
Rfam family: Bacterial small subunit ribosomal RNA
Source: RNAcentral